CAAUAGCGUAUAUUAAAGUUGUUGCAGUUAAAAGCUCGUAGUUGGAUUUCUGUUCUCGAGGAUCGGUCCGCCUCACGGUGAGCACUGGUUUUUCUUGGGGACAUCCUCUCGAAGGCGGGUGGUGCACUUAAUUGUGUGCUGCUUGGAUUCGGGACCUUUACUUUGAAAAAUUAGAGUGUUCAAAGCAGGCCUAUGCUCUGAAUAGGUUAGCAUGGAAUAAUAAAAUAGGACUUUGGUUCUAUUUUGUUGGUUUCUAGGACCGAAGUAAUGAUUAAUAGGGACAGUUGGGGGCAUUCAUAUUCCAAUGUCAGAGGUGAAAUUCUUGGAUUAUCGGAAGAUGAACUUCUGCGAAAGCAUCUGCCAAGGAUGUUUUCAUUGAUCAAGAACGAAAGUUAGGGGAUCGAAGAUGAUCAGAUACCGU
Molecule: ribosomal RNA, 421 nt
Filed under: uncultured eukaryote
Lineage: Eukaryota
Description: bacterial SSU rRNA
Rfam family: Eukaryotic small subunit ribosomal RNA
Source: RNAcentral